GAUGAAGAACGUAGUGAAAUGCGAUACGUAAUGUGAAUUGCAGAAUUCAGUGAAUCAUCGAGUCUUUGAACGCACAUUGCGCCCCCUGGUAUUCCGGGGGGCAUGCCUGUCCGAGCGUCAUUGCUGCCCUCAAGCACGGCUUGUGUGUUGGGCCUCCGUCCUCCUCCCGGGGGACGGGGCCGAAAGGCAGCGGCGGCACCGCGUCCGGUCCUCGAGCGUAUGGGGCUUCGUCACCCGCUCUUGUAGGCCCGGCCGGCGCUUGCCGACACAUCAAUCUUUUUUCCAGGUUGACCUCGGAUCAGGUAGGGAUACCCGCUGAACUUAAGCAUAUCAAUAAGCGGAGGA
This 345-nucleotide unclassified non-coding RNA is filed under the name soil metagenome. RNAcentral describes it as "partial contains 5.8S ribosomal RNA, internal transcribed spacer 2, and large subunit ribosomal RNA". The stretch from base 1 to 120 matches the Rfam family "5.8S ribosomal RNA", at positions 35 to 154 of the family's 154-position model. The record is from RNAcentral.